RNAcentral lists this transfer RNA (76 nucleotides) under Candidatus Rokuibacteriota bacterium. Its description in RNAcentral is "Candidatus Rokubacteria bacterium tRNA-Met". It matches the Rfam family "tRNA". Rfam says of the family: Transfer RNA (tRNA) molecules are approximately 80 nucleotides in length. Their secondary structure includes four short double-helical elements and three loops (D, anti-codon, and T loops). The record is from RNAcentral. Lineage: Bacteria; Candidatus Rokuibacteriota.
GGGCCCGUAGCUCAGCGGUUAGAGCAGCGGACUCAUAAUCCGUAGGUCGGUGGUUCGAGUCCACCCGGGCCCUCAA